Molecule: ribosomal RNA, 700 nt
Filed under: uncultured bacterium
Lineage: Bacteria
Description: bacterial SSU rRNA
Rfam family: Bacterial small subunit ribosomal RNA
Source: RNAcentral
UGCAAGUCGAGCGGUAGAGUGACUUCGGUUGCUUGAGAGCGGCGCACGGGUGAGUAACGCGUACAUGACCUACCUUCAAGACCGGAAUAGCCCUGGGAAACUGGGAUUAAUACCGGAUGUGAUAAUAAGUAUAGAGAUUUAUUAUUAAAGUUACGGCGCUUGGAGAUGGGUGUGCGUCUGAUUAGCUAGUUGGUGAGGUAACGGCUCACCAAGGCGACGAUCAGUAGGGGGCGUGAGAGCGUGACCCCCCACACGGGUACUGAGACACGGACCCGACUCCUACGGGAGGCAGCAGUAAGGAAUAUUGGUCAAUGGGCGAAAGCCUGAACCAGCCAUCCCGCGUGCAGGAUGAAGGUCCUAUGGAUUGUAAACUGCUUUUAUCAGGGAAGAAACGCCUUCAUUCAUGGGGGUCUGAGGGGGGCUGAGGAAUAAGCACCGGCUAACUCCGUGCCAGCAGCCGCGGUAAUACGGAGGGUGCGAGCGUUAUCCGGAAUCACUGGGUUUAAAGGGUGCGUAGGCGGGGAAUUAAGUCAGUGGUGAAAGCCUGUCGCUUAACGAUAGAAUUGCCAUUGAUACUGAUUUUCUUGAAUUGGGUUGAGGUUAGCGGAAUGUGACAUGUAGCGGUGAAAUGCAUAGAUAUGUCAUGGAACACCAAUUGCGAAGGCAGCUAGCUGGGCCUUGAUUGACGCUGAGGCACGAA